UUGGAGGGCAAGUCUGGAGCCAGCAGCCGCGGUAAUUCCAGCUCCAAUAGCGUAUAUUAAAGUUGUUGCAGUUAAAAAGCUCGUAGUUGAAUUUUCGGGGUUCUACCGUUGGUCGGGCAAUAGUCUGUACUGGCGUGUAGAAUUUCUACCUUCUGGGGAACUAUCAUGUUAUUUAUUUAGCGUGGUAGGAAACCAGGACCUUUACCUUGAAAAAAUUAGAGUGUUCAAAGCAGGCUUACGUCUGAAUACAUUAGCAUGGAAUAAUAAAAUAGGACGGUGGUCCUGUUUUGUUGGUUUCUGAAUCACCGUAAUGAUUAAUAGGGAUAGUUGGGGGCAUUAGUAUUCAAUUGUCAGAGGUGAAAUUCUUGGAUUUAUUGAAGACUAACUUCUGCGAAAGCAUUUGCCAAGGAUGUUUUCAUUAAUCAAGAACGAAAGUUAGGGGAUCGAAGACGAUCAGAUACCGUCGUAGUCUUAACCAUAAACUAUGCCGACUAGGGAUCGGACGAUGUUAAUUUUUCUUGACUCGUUCGGCACCUUACGGGAAAC
Molecule: ribosomal RNA, 546 nt
Filed under: uncultured Gigasporaceae
Lineage: Eukaryota; Fungi; Glomeromycota; Glomeromycetes; Diversisporales; Gigasporaceae
Description: SSU rRNA
Rfam family: Eukaryotic small subunit ribosomal RNA
Source: RNAcentral